Molecule: ribosomal RNA, 426 nt
Filed under: uncultured bacterium
Lineage: Bacteria
Description: bacterial SSU rRNA
Rfam family: Bacterial small subunit ribosomal RNA
Source: RNAcentral
GGGCCCGCACAAGCGGUGGAGUAUGUGGUUUAAUUCGAUGCAACGCGAAGAACCUUACCUGGUCUUGACAUACACAGAAUCUUGUAGAGAUACGAGAGUGCCUUCGGGAAUUGUGAUACAGGUGCUGCAUGGCUGUCGUCAGCUCGUGUCGUGAGAUGUUGGGUUAAGUCCCGCAACGAGCGCAACCCUUGUCCUUAGUUGCCAGCAUUAAGUUGGGCACUCUAGAGAGACUGCCCGGGUUAACCGGGAGGAAGGUGGGGAUGACGUCAAGUCCUCAUGGCCCUUAUGCCUAGGGCUACACACGUAAUACAAUGGUGCAAACAAAGGGAAGCGAGCAUGCGAGUGUUAGCAAAUCUCAAAAAUUGCAUCUCAGUCCGGAUUGGAGUCUGCAACUCGACUCCAUGAAGUUGGAAUCGCUAGUAAUCG